Molecule: ribosomal RNA, 439 nt
Filed under: Klebsiella aerogenes
Lineage: Bacteria; Pseudomonadati; Pseudomonadota; Gammaproteobacteria; Enterobacterales; Enterobacteriaceae
Description: bacterial SSU rRNA
Rfam family: Bacterial small subunit ribosomal RNA
Source: RNAcentral
AUGACCAGCCACACUGGAACUGAGACACGGUCCAGACUCCUACGAGAGGCAGCAGUGGGGAAUAUUGCACAAUGGGCGCAAGCCUGAUGCAGCCAUGCCGCGUGUAUGAAGAAGGCCUUCGGGUUGUAAAGUACUUUCAGCGAGGAGGAAGGCGUUAAGGUUAAUAACCUUGGCGAUUGACGUUACUCGCAGAAGAAGCACCGGCUAACUCCGUGCCAGCAGCCGCGGUAAUACGGAGGGUGCAAGCGUUAAUCGGAAUUACUGGGCGUAAAGCGCACGCAGGCGGUCUGUCAAGUCGGAUGUGAAAUCCCCGGGCUCAACCUGGGAACUGCAUUCGAAACUGGCAGGCUAGAGUCUUGUAGAGGGGGGUAGAAUUCCAGGUGUAGCGGUGAAAUGCGUAGAGAUCUGGAGGAAUACCGGUGGCGAAGGCGGCCCCCUG